This 377-nucleotide ribosomal RNA is filed under the name uncultured bacterium. RNAcentral describes it as "bacterial SSU rRNA". It matches the Rfam family "Bacterial small subunit ribosomal RNA", at positions 417 to 810 of the family's 1533-position model. The record is from RNAcentral.
UUCGGGGUGUAAACUCCUUUUAGUGGGGACGAACGCAGACGGUACCCACAGAAAAAGCCCCGGCUAACUACGUGCCAGCAGCCGCGGUAAUACGUAGGGGGCGAGCGUUGCCCGAAUUUACUGGGCGUAAAGCGCACGUAGGCGGCUCCGUAAGUCUGGUGUGAAAUCUCACGGCUCAACCGGGAGGCUGCACCAGAUACUGCGGAGCUCGAGGGCGGGAGAGGAGAUUGGAAUUCCCGGUGUAGCGGUGAAAUGCAUUGAUAUCGGGAGGAACACCAGUGGCGAAGGCGGAUCUCUGGCCCGUUGCUGACGCUGAGGUGCGAAAGCUGGGGGAGCGAAAGGGAUUAGAUACCCUGGUAGUCAAGGGCGAAUUCGUU